CGCGUAGGUGGUUUGGUCAGUCAGAUGUGAAAGCCCCGGGCUCAACCUGGGAAUUGCACCUGAUACUGCCAGGCUAGAGUACGGUAGAGGGUAGUGGAAUUUCCGGUGCAGCGGUGAAAUGCGUAGAGAUCGGAAGGAACACCAGUGGCGAAGGCGACUACCUGGACCGAUACUGACACUGAGGUGCGAAAGCGUGGGUAGCAAACA
Molecule: ribosomal RNA, 207 nt
Filed under: uncultured bacterium
Lineage: Bacteria
Description: partial 16S ribosomal RNA
Rfam family: Bacterial small subunit ribosomal RNA
Source: RNAcentral